Molecule: transfer RNA, 71 nt
Filed under: Podarcis lilfordi (Lilford's wall lizard)
Lineage: Eukaryota; Metazoa; Chordata; Lepidosauria; Squamata; Lacertidae
Description: tRNA.Ile
Rfam family: tRNA (bases 4-62)
About the family: Transfer RNA (tRNA) molecules are approximately 80 nucleotides in length.
Source: RNAcentral
UGAUAGCUCAGCUGUUUAGAGCAUGGUGUUGAUAAUGCCAAGGUUGCAGGUUCAAUCCCUGGAUGGGACAG